GACGAACGCUGGCGGCGUGCUUAACACAUGCAAGUCGAGCGGUAAGGCCCUUUCGGGGGUACACGAGCGGCGAACGGGUGAGUAACACGUGGGUGACCUGCCCUCAGCUCUGGGAUAAGCCUGGGAAACUGGGUCUAAUACCGGAUAUGACUCCAUGACGCAUGUUGUGGGGUGGAAAGCCUUGUGCGGCUGAGGAUGGGCCCGCGGCCUAUCAGCUUGUUGGUGGGGUGANGGCCUACCAAGGCGACGACGGGUAGCCGGCCUGAGAGGGCGACCGGCCACACUGGGACUGAGACACGGGCCAGACUCCUACGGGAGGCAGCAGUGGGGAAUCUUGCGCAAUGGGCGAAAGCCUGACGCAGCGACGCCGCGUGAGGGAUGACGGCCU
Molecule: ribosomal RNA, 388 nt
Filed under: uncultured bacterium
Lineage: Bacteria
Description: bacterial SSU rRNA
Rfam family: Bacterial small subunit ribosomal RNA
Source: RNAcentral